AAACAUUAGGUUGUGGACCUACAAAUAAGAAUCUAAUCCUCUUUGUCUACC
Molecule: transfer RNA, 51 nt
Filed under: Loxodonta cyclotis (African forest elephant)
Lineage: Eukaryota; Metazoa; Chordata; Mammalia; Proboscidea; Elephantidae
Description: partial tRNA-His
Source: RNAcentral